Molecule: non-coding RNA, 101 nt
Filed under: Burkholderiales bacterium 8X
Lineage: Bacteria; Pseudomonadati; Pseudomonadota; Betaproteobacteria; Burkholderiales
Description: SAH_riboswitch
Rfam family: SAH (S-adenosyl-L-homocysteine) riboswitch aptamer
Source: RNAcentral
GCUCCCAAGGAGCGUUGCAGCGCCGCGGCCCGAUCCAGCCUUCGAGUCGCCGCGUCAGGCUUGGGCUUCCACCCGAUGGAUUGCAACGACGCUCGCCUGAC